RNAcentral lists this ribosomal RNA (503 nucleotides) under uncultured bacterium. RNAcentral's name for it is "partial 16S ribosomal RNA". It matches the Rfam family "Bacterial small subunit ribosomal RNA", at positions 29 to 523 of the family's 1533-position model. The record is from RNAcentral.
AACGAACGCUGGCGGCACGUUUUAAGCAUGCAAGUCGAAUGGCAGUGGGGGCAACCCCAUGAGAAUGGCGAACGGGUGAGUAACACGUAGGUGAUCUGCCUGACGGAUGGGGAUAGCUUGUGGAAACACAGGGUAAUACCGAAUGAGCUGACGAGACUUUGGUUUUGUUAGUAAAGGUGCUACGGCACCGCCGACAGAGGAGCCUGCGGCUGAUUAGCUAGUUGGUGGGGUAAAGGCCUACCAAGGCGACGAUCAGUAGCCGGCCUGAGAGGGUGUACGGCCACACUGGAACUGAGACACGGUCCAGACUCCUACGGGAGGCAGCAGCUAAGAAUCUUCCGCAAUGGGCGAAAGCCUGACGGAGCGAUGCCGCGUGAUCGAUGAAGGUCGAGAGAUUGUAAAGAUCUUUUCUACAUGAGGAAUAAGUCUGGGAGGGAAUGCCUGGAUGAUGACGUUAGUGUAGGAAUAAGCCCCGGCUAAUUACGUGCCAGCCGCCGCCGUAA